This 253-nucleotide ribosomal RNA is filed under the name uncultured bacterium. RNAcentral's name for it is "partial 16S ribosomal RNA". It matches the Rfam family "Bacterial small subunit ribosomal RNA", at positions 524 to 776 of the family's 1533-position model. The record is from RNAcentral.
UACGUAGGGUGCGAGCGUUGUCCGGAAUUAUUGGGCGUAAAGGGCUCGUAGGCGGUCUGUUGCGUCGGGAGUGAAAACUUACAGCUUAACUGUGAGCGUGCUUCCGAUACGGGCAGACUUGAGGUAUUCAGGGGAGAACGGAAUUCCUGGUGUAGCGGUGAAAUGCGCAGGUAUCAGGAGGAACACCGGUGGCGAAGGCGGUUCUCUGGGAAUAUCCUGACGCUGAGGAGCGAAAGUGUGGGGAGCGAACAGG